GGGAGGCAGCAGCAAGGAAUUUUCCCCAAUGGGCGCAAGCCUGAGGGAGCAACGCCGCGUGGGGGAUGAAGCAUUUCGAUGUGUAAACCCCUUUUCCAUAGGACGAAGUAAGUGACGGUACCAUGGGAAGAAGGCCCGGCUGACUACGUGCCAGCAGCCGCGGUAAUACGUAGGGUGCGAGCGUUAAUCGGAAUUACUGGGCGUAAAGCGUGCGCAGGCGGUUAUGUAAGACAGAUGUGAAAUCCCCGGGCUCAACCUGGGAACUGCAUUUGUGACUGCAUGGCUAGAGUACGGUAGAGGGGGAUGGAAUUCCGCGUGUAGCAGUGAAAUGCGUAGAUAUGCGGAGGAACACCGAUGGCGAAGGCAAUCCCCUGGACCUGUACUGACGCUCAUGCACGAAAGCGUGGGGAGCAAACAGGAUUAGAUACCCUGGUAGUCCACGCCCUAAACGAUGUCAACUGGUUGUUGGGAAUUAGUUUUCUCAGUAACGCAGCUAACGCAAUAAGUAGACCGCCUGGGGAGUACGGCCGCAAGGUUAAAACUCAAAUGAAUUGACGG
RNAcentral lists this ribosomal RNA (558 nucleotides) under uncultured beta proteobacterium. Its description in RNAcentral is "bacterial SSU rRNA". It matches the Rfam family "Bacterial small subunit ribosomal RNA", at positions 343 to 916 of the family's 1533-position model. The record is from RNAcentral. Lineage: Bacteria; Pseudomonadati; Pseudomonadota; Betaproteobacteria.